GCAGUUAUGGUGUAGUUGGUAAGCACGCUUGCUGAUGAAGUAAGAGGAUGAGUUCAAAACUCAUUGACUGCA
Molecule: transfer RNA, 72 nt
Filed under: Caudoviricetes sp.
Lineage: Duplodnaviria; Heunggongvirae; Uroviricota; Caudoviricetes
Description: tRNA-His
Rfam family: tRNA
About the family: Transfer RNA (tRNA) molecules are approximately 80 nucleotides in length. Their secondary structure includes four short double-helical elements and three loops (D, anti-codon, and T loops).
Source: RNAcentral